This 206-nucleotide ribosomal RNA is filed under the name uncultured bacterium. Its description in RNAcentral is "partial 16S ribosomal RNA". It matches the Rfam family "Bacterial small subunit ribosomal RNA", at positions 568 to 774 of the family's 1533-position model. The record is from RNAcentral.
CGUGUAGGCGGUCAAGUAAGUGGGAUGUGAAAUCCCUCGGCUCACCCGAGGACCUGCAUCCCAAACUGCUUGGCUUGAGUAUGGGAGAGGAUGAGGGAAUUCCUGGUGUAGCGGUGAAAUGCGUAGAUAUCAGGAGGAACACCGGUGGCGAAAGCGCUCAUCUGGCCCAAUACUGACGCUGAGGCGCGAAAGCUAGGGAGCAAACG